UACGUAGGGUGCAAGCGUUGUCCGGAAUUAUUGGGCGUAAAGAGCUCGUAGGCGGCUUGUCGCGUCGGCUGUGAAAACCUAGGGCUCAACCCUGGGCCUGCAGCCGAUACGGGCAAGCUAGAAUUCGGUAGGGGAGACUGGGAUUCCUGGUGUAGCGGUGAAAUGCGCAGAUAUCAGGAGGAACACCGGUGGCGAAGGCGGGUCUCUGGGCCGAUAUUGACGCUGAGGAGCGAAAGCGUGGGGAGCGAACAGG
This 253-nucleotide ribosomal RNA is filed under the name uncultured bacterium. RNAcentral's name for it is "partial 16S ribosomal RNA". It matches the Rfam family "Bacterial small subunit ribosomal RNA", at positions 524 to 776 of the family's 1533-position model. The record is from RNAcentral.